GGUGUUAAACCUAAAGGUAGCAGAGGUUAGGGCUCUAUGUAAGCAGUGUGGCCUCGACAGCAAGGGCUCUAAGAUGGACCUUGUCCUUCGUCUUCGUGAGAAAAUGGCCAGCAGGACGACAUAUAAUAAAGUGUUUGAGAAAGUCUGGGGUGCCUCUGGUGGUUGGGCUGUAGUAAUGUGCCCAUGUGGAGUCGUGUAUUCUGUAAAGUUUAAUCUCAGAGCUGAGAGUCCCAGAGACUUCACUGACAUGCUUCUGUCAUGGAAACAUUUUCCAAAUGUUACAGUGUAUGACUACGCAAGGGGGCUGGCCAGUCAUGCCAACUGCCGACAACCACUGGAUCCUCCCUUCCAUCCACAUGAGGGGAGGUUACUUCCUCCCUCACCAAAGAACAUCAAACUGGCUGCAGAGAGAAAGCUUAGGGUAGAUGGCAUGGCUUAAGCACAGGAAAGAGGAAGAGGACAAGGACUGCCAUCCAAUCACUGGAUCGUCUGAUCAUUAUGCUUUGCUUGAUGUUUUCCAUCAAUGCAACAGCAAAGAUGACAGGGAUCUCCUUCGGAGAAUUGAACUUGUUCCAGAGCUUGCUGGGCACAUUAACAGCCAGUGUACUGAGCAGUUAUUCUCCGGGAUGCGGAAAAACAAUUAUUUCCUUAAUAUGCUCACACCCUCUGCACACAUCUUCCUACAGAGGAAUAUCUUGCACCUCUACAAUGUGGACCGAAAUAACAAAGUGAAAGAACAGUUCAAGAAAAUUGUGGGAAGCAAUACUGCGUUUAGCCUUGAUGUUAAUGGAAGAAUCACCUUGGGGCAUCAAAGCAAA
Long non-coding RNA from Gymnodraco acuticeps, 818 nucleotides. RefSeq lists it as uncharacterized. NCBI's taxonomy places the organism in Eukaryota, Metazoa, Chordata, Actinopteri, Perciformes, Bathydraconidae. The record is from RefSeq and is a predicted model, not a curated record. The transcript has 4 exons.